GUGUCUUUAGCCUAGCAGUAAAAGGCAAAACUGUAGUAUUUGUCAUGCUGAGGUUGUGGGUUUGAAUCCCACCAGACACA
Molecule: transfer RNA, 80 nt
Filed under: Cronartium comandrae C4
Lineage: Eukaryota; Fungi; Basidiomycota; Pucciniomycetes; Pucciniales; Coleosporiaceae
Description: tRNA-Thr (TGT) (tRNA-Thr-TGT-5-1)
Rfam family: tRNA
About the family: Transfer RNA (tRNA) molecules are approximately 80 nucleotides in length.
Source: RNAcentral